RNAcentral lists this ribosomal RNA (253 nucleotides) under uncultured bacterium. Its description in RNAcentral is "partial 16S ribosomal RNA". It matches the Rfam family "Bacterial small subunit ribosomal RNA", at positions 524 to 776 of the family's 1533-position model. The record is from RNAcentral.
UACGGGGGGAGCAAGCGUUGUUCGGAUUUACUGGGCGUAAAGGGCGCGUAGGCGGCGCAACAAGUCACUUGUGAAAUCUCCGGGCUUAACCCGGAGCGGCCAAGUGAUACUGUUGUGCUAGAGUGCGGAAGGGGCUACUGGAAUUCUCGGUGUAGCGGUGAAAUGCGUAGAUAUCGAGAGGAACACCUGCGGCGAAGGCGGGUAGCUGGGCCGACACUGACGCUGAGGCGCGAAAGCGUGGGGAGCAAACAGG